AAAACCAUUAAUGAACUUUGCGCUUAACAUCAUUUUGGAAGUGUUUUUCCUUAGCUGGGUGUUGAUACUUCUUUCUGUAUGAUAAUGGCCAUAGAUGAUUGUUUUUACUGUAUAGAGAGAUCUUUCAGUGACCACUAAGCUCUAUGUCUGGCCUUGUAUUGAUUCUCAACAGCUUGCGACUUAUAUAAAUUCCGUCAUGUUAACGUGUUGCAUGUAAUUAUAGUUUUGUUACCUUUGUCUUUCUCUGUAAAAACCUUCAUGACUGACGUUUUCCAUUCUGUUCCAUCACCUCUGCAGGGAAAAGUGAGUAUCGCGGUGAAAUCUGGUGUGAAAUUGGAAAUACCAGAUGGAGUCGUUCUUCAGAACAAGGAAAUUAAUGGCCCGGAGGACCUCUAAGAAAGUUGCCUGGCGCAACAACAAGUUGAAGAAAAACUUCGAGCAGCCUUGCUUUCGUGUGGCAAUUCCCUUGUAUUUUGCUAGAACAAUAAGAGAUGAAUUCAGUUUGCAGUUGUCUGAAUCUAGAAAUCAUCUUGCAGCACAUUAGUCUUCCUUGUUUAUUACAAGAACUGACAUACAUGAGGUUGUGAAA
Molecule: long non-coding RNA, 589 nt
Organism: Populus trichocarpa (black cottonwood)
Lineage: Eukaryota; Viridiplantae; Streptophyta; Magnoliopsida; Malpighiales; Salicaceae
Exons: 2
Source: RefSeq, a predicted model, not a curated record